AAUGCUUUUGCUCAUUAAUUCAGCAAGUAACUCACAUUCCAAUGGAAGCAGAAGAGGUUGAGCCCACAAUCAAACUGUCACUGAAUUCUAAAACAAAACUGAAGUAUGGACUUCUUCUCAUUAGGGUCACGUUGCCAGAACUAUACAAUGAAAUGCCUGGCCGUGAGAGUCCAGCAAUUUUCUUUGCUCUCAGAGUUCCUGUGUGGAAAAGAAAUCUGAGAACUCCAUGGUGAUGGACUUGUCCCUGGAAUAAUGUUAAGAAGACUGUGGUAGGGCAGUGCAUUUGCUUCUCUUGAGGAUCUUGUUAAAUGAGAUUCAGAUUCAGCAGCUCCAAGAUGAGGAAGCCUGCAGCCUCUGAAGGUUACGGGUGCUGUCGGAGCCACGAGGAAGAGCCAUUAGCCCAGGGAGAUGCUGAGGGUUGGGGCAUCUCCAUGGAUGAGCUCCAUGUACUGCUGGACUCAUCCAACCCUUCGUGGACAUCACUUUGUAGUAAAAAUCCCUUUUGUUGUUGAAGAAAGCCUGAGCUGGCUGGGUGAUUGAUUACUCAUAAAGUAUGUUAAUACCUUGAUGUUAAUAUUCUCAUGAGAGAAUUAUACUAUAGUCUUACGAUAGCACUAAAAGUAAUUUAAAGACCCCACCCUUCUCCAAAUAAAACCAACACUUGUGAAACCCUUGCUUUGCCAUUUACUAUCUAUUUUCCUGGACAAACUAUUAAAUGUGCCGAGUCUACACCUCCACCUCAGUUUAGGAUCAAUAAUCUAUAUCUUUUCUUUUUCAGUUUCAAUACAUAAAAAUAAGUGCCAUGAGUAGUUCUUGUAACCGAAUAGGCACUCAAAAGUGAAAUUAGGCUCUUCAUUUCUCCUGCUUUCUUAUCAUACAUCUUUAUGAUACUUUAAUUUGAGCUACAACCCCUGAGAUCCUCUUGAGAGUUAAUCACUGCUGAGAGACAAUACACAGACAGGACAACAGACAGAUCGCAUGUGACAACAGAGCUCUUACCCACAACCUCUGCAGCAAUUGCGCCCCGACAAUGGGGACUUAGUGAAUAACUGCUACCUGCCCUAUUUAUGCCCCCAACUCAGGAACGGCAGAUAAAUCCAGUAUGCUUCUCUAAUACUCACAUAAUUCUCAUUCUUUUAUUUUUAAUGUUUAUUUUGAUCUUCUACAAUUAAAAAAUCAGCUAACAAUCAUAGGUAUGAAUCCAUCAAUGCUUCCAACUUAUAAGCAUUCUUGUAUUAAGAAUUUUACUCUUUCAUUUUCCUGUGGUUGCUUUUUUCCCCUCAGGUUCUGCAAACACAUUUGUUGCCUAAAAUUGCACCUCUGAGAAAUUCCAGCACACUGGCAUAGUGUUCUGGACUCUUGCUGUGGUAUUACUGCCAGCAGUAUGCUUCCUUAUUAAAAAAUGUAGAGGCUCACUUGCAGCAAGUUUGAUAGCAGGAUGAUAAAAUGGCAGGGUAUUUUUAAACACAGAUUUUAUGAGAUGUAUUACAUAGAAUUAAAUUUAGACCAUAUAUCAAGGAAAUCACCAUAGAGCUUUGAGCGUGAUUCAGAUUAUCCUGGCAUUAGUUGGACCACUCUGUUGGCUAAACAAUGUCAUUGCCUGAGUGGGAAAUAAAUGCCCCAGUCUAUGGGGGCACUAUCGGGUUGGCUUGCUGGUCACAGCAACCUCCCCCCACAAGAUAUCUUAUCUGGAAGGGUCUGUAGGGCAGCAAUUGGUGGAAAUACACAGCAGAAGAAGAUUAUGACUCUUUCUCCAACACAUCCCCUCCUCAGUACACAUCCUCUGCUCCCACUGAUGGUACAAACAUCAGGGAUUUGACAGGACACACUCAAGAAACUGUUUUUUGUUUGUUUUUUUGUUUUUCUUUCUUUUUUUUUUUUUUUUCGUUUGUUUUUGGUAGGAUCAAUCUAAAUGUAAGGUUAUUUUGAUGGUUAAUAUUGAAUGUCAACUUUAUUGAAGGAUACAAAGUAUUGUUCCUGGAUGUGUCUGUGAGGGUGUUACUGAAGGAGAUUAACAUUUGUGUCAGUGAACUGGGAGAGGCAGACCCACCCUCAAUCUGGGUGGGCACCAUCUAAUCAGCUGCUAGGGCCACUAGAAUAAAAGCAGGCAGAAGAACGUGAAGGACUUGACCAGUUGAGUCUUCCAGCCUCCAUCUUUCUCCCAUGCUGGUUACUUCCUGCCCUUGAGUAUCAAACUCCAAGUUCUUCAGCUUUGGGACUCUUGGACCUUUGACCACAGACUGAAGGCCGCACCAUCAGCUUCCCUACUUUUGAGGUUUUGGGACUUGGACUGGCUUUCUUGCUUCUUAGCUUGCAGACAGCCUAUUGUAAGACUUCACCUUGUGAUCGUGUGAGUCAAAACUCCUUAAUGAACUCUUCCUCAUAUAUACAUCUAUCCUAUUAGUUCUGUCCCUCCAGAGAACCCUGACUAAUACAGUUACACUCCUGGUCCACAUUUGGGAUUCUGUAUGUAAACCUCAGAAUAAAUUCAACAAAAUUUGU
Symphalangus syndactylus (siamang) is the source of this 2502-nucleotide long non-coding RNA. RefSeq lists it as uncharacterized. Lineage: Eukaryota; Metazoa; Chordata; Mammalia; Primates; Hylobatidae. The record is from RefSeq and is a predicted model, not a curated record.